Molecule: ribosomal RNA, 433 nt
Filed under: Haploplasma modicum
Lineage: Bacteria; Bacillati; Mycoplasmatota; Mollicutes; Acholeplasmatales; Acholeplasmataceae
Description: bacterial LSU rRNA
Rfam family: Bacterial large subunit ribosomal RNA
Source: RNAcentral
CCUGUACUAGUAAAUAAACUGAUGGAGCAACAGAGGAGGAUAACAUUCGCCCCUUAGUGGAUUGGGGUCGAAAAUACGAUGCUGUGUUAUAGGCAAAUCCGUAACACGUGAAGGAGUAGUAUUAAUAGGUAAAGAAUGAUGAUUUCACACUUUCAAGAAAAACUUCUAGGGAUAAUUUAUUUACUACCCGUACCGUAAACCGACACAGGUGGGUAGGUAGAGAAUACUAAGACGCGCGAGAAAACUCUUGUUAAGGAACUCGGCAAAAUGACUCCGUAACUUCGGGAUAAGGAGGACUUUUUAUGAGAAAAGAAAGUCGCAGAGAAUAGGCCCAAGCGACUGUUUAUCAAAAACACAGGUCUCUGCAAAACCGUAAGGUGAAGUAUAGGGGCUGACGCCUGCCCGGUGCUGGAAGAUUAAGAGGAGAUGUUAG